AUUGACACUGACCUUGUUCCCAGGACUUAUAUCCAAGUCUUCGAUCUCUCCUUCAUGUGCUUUGAAGUCAAACUUUUUCUUCAGGGAAGGAAACUGAAACAGGACAUACCAGGGACCAAAAGUAAUUGGACAACUGACGAAGGCCAUUUCAUGGGCAGGUGUGGGCAGUUCCUUCGUUCUGUCAUUAUCAAGCGGAUAAAAGACCUGGAGUUGAUUUGAGGAGUCGUGCUUGCAUUUGGCAGAUUUUGCUGUGAGCAGACAUCAUGUGGUCAAAUGAGCUCUCUGUGAAACAAGCCACCCUUAAACUGCGGAAAGAGAAAACACUCACACUGUUAGGAGCGGCAAAAUCUACAGUUUGGUGCAUCCUGAGAAAGAAAGCAAGCACUGGUGAACUCAGCAACUCAAAAAGACCUGGACGUCCACGACAACAGUGGUGGAUGAUCGCAGAAUCAUUUCCAUGGUGAUGAGAAACCCUUCACAACCAAGCAACAUUCUCCAGGAGGUGGGCUUAUCCAAGUCUACCAUAGAAGACUACGGUACAUGAAAGUAAAUACAGAGAGCUUACUGCAAGGUGCAGGCCGCUCAUAAGUCUCAAGAACAAAAAAUCUAGACUGGAGCUUGCAAAAAAAGAAAAAAGAAAAGAAAGCGAACAAAAGAGAGCACACCUAAACAGCCAGCAGAGUUCUGGAAAAGCAUUCUUUGGACAGAUGAAACCAACAUCCACCUCUACCAGAACGAUGGCAA
Molecule: long non-coding RNA, 744 nt
Organism: Haplochromis burtoni (Burton's mouthbrooder)
Lineage: Eukaryota; Metazoa; Chordata; Actinopteri; Cichliformes; Cichlidae
Exons: 2
Source: RefSeq, a predicted model, not a curated record